AGAGUUUGAUCAUGGCUCAGAUUGAACGCUGGCGGCAGGCCUAACACAUGCAAGUCGAACGGUAACAGGAAGCAGCUUGCUGCUUCGCUGACGAGUGGCGGACGGGUGAGUAAUGUCUGGGAAACUGCCUGAUGGAGGGGGAUAACUACUGGAAACGGUAGCUAAUACCGCAUAAUGUCGCAAGACCAAAGAGGGGGACCUUCGGGCCUCUUGCCAUCGGAUGUGCCCAGAUGGGAUUAGCUUGUUGGUGGGGUAACGGCUCACCAAGGCGACGAUCCCUAGCUGGUCUGAGAGGAUGACCAGCCACACUGGAACUGAGACACGGUCCAGACUCCUACGGGAGGCAGCAGUGGGGAAUAUUGCACAAUGGGCGCAAGCCUGAUGCAGCCAUGCCGCGUGUAUGAAGAAGGCCUUCGGGUUGUAAAGUACUUUCAGCGGGGAGGAAGGGAGUAAAGUUAAUACCUUUGCUCAUUGACGUUACCCGCAGAAGAAGCACCGGCUAACUCCGUGCCAGCAGCCGCGGUAAUACGGAGGGUGCAAGCGUUAAUCGGAAUUACUGGGCGUAAAGCGCACGCAGGCGGUUUGUUAAGUCAGAUGUGAAAUCCCCGGGCUCAACCUGGGAACUGCAUCUGAUACUGGCAAGCUUGAGUCUCGUAGAGGGGGGUAGAAUUCCAGGUGUAGCGGUGAAAUGCGUAGAGAUCUGGAGGAAUACCGGUGGUGAAGGCGGCCCCCUGGACGAAGACUGACGCUCAGGUGCGAAAGCGUGGGGAGCAAACAGGAUUAGAUACCCUGGUAGUCCACGCCGUAAACGAUGUCGACUUGGAGGUUGUGCCCUUGAGGCGUGGCUUCCGGAGCUAACGCGUUAAGUCGACCGCCUGGGGAGUACGGCCGCAAGGUUAAAACUCAAAUGAAUUGACGGGGGCCCGCACAAGCGGUGGAGCAUGUGGUUUAAUUCGAUGCAACGCGAAGAACCUUACCUGGUCUUGACAUCCACGGAAGUUUUCAGAGAUGAGAAUGUGCCUUCGGGAACCGUGAGACAGGUGCUGCAUGGCUGUCGUCAGCUCGUGUUGUGAAAUGUUGGGUUAAGUCCCGCAACGAGCGCAACCCUUAUCCUUUGUUGCCAGCGGUCCGGCCGGGAACUCAAAGGAGACUGCCAGUGAUAAACUGGAGGAAGGUGGGGAUGACGUCAAGUCAUCAUGGCCCUUACGACCAGGGCUACACACGUGCUACAAUGGCGCAUACAAAGAGAAGCGACCUCGCGAGAGCAAGCGGACCUCAUAAAGUGCGUCGUAGUCCGGAUUGGAGUCUGCAACUCGACUCCAUGAAGUCGGAAUCGCUAGUAAUCGUGGAUCAGAAUGCCACGGUGAAUACGUUCCCGGGCCUUGUACACACCGCCCGUCACACCAUGGGAGUGGGUUGCAAAAGAAGUAGGUAGCUUAACCUUCGGGAGGGCGCUUACCACUUUGUGAUUCAUGACUGGGGUGAAGUCGUAACAAGGUAACCGUAGGGGAACCUGCGGUUG
RNAcentral lists this ribosomal RNA (1522 nucleotides) under Shigella dysenteriae. Its description in RNAcentral is "bacterial SSU rRNA". It matches the Rfam family "Bacterial small subunit ribosomal RNA". Lineage: Bacteria; Pseudomonadati; Pseudomonadota; Gammaproteobacteria; Enterobacterales; Enterobacteriaceae. The record is from RNAcentral.